RNAcentral lists this ribosomal RNA (371 nucleotides) under uncultured eukaryote. Its description in RNAcentral is "partial 18S ribosomal RNA". It matches the Rfam family "Eukaryotic small subunit ribosomal RNA", at positions 592 to 975 of the family's 1831-position model. The record is from RNAcentral.
CAAUAGCGUAUAUUAAAGUUGUUGCAGUUAAAAAGCUCGUAGUUGGAUUUGUGCAGGCUCAUGAUGUCCGUUUUUGGUACGUUUGUGGGCCUGCAUGCUUGGGUGGAACCUGUGUGGCAUUAGGUUGUCGUGCAGGGGAUGCUCAUCGUUUACUGUGAAAAAAUUAGAGUGUUCAAAGCAGGCUUAUGCCAUUGAAUAUAUUAGCAUGGAAUAAUAAGAUAGGACCUUGGUACUAUUUUGUUGGUUUGCGCACCGAGGUAAUGAUUAACAGGGACAGUUGGGGGUAUUCGUAUUCCAUUGUCAGAGGUGAAAUUCUUGGAUUUUUGGAAGACGAACUACUGCGAAAGCAUUUACCAAGGAUGUUUNCAUUA